RNAcentral lists this unclassified non-coding RNA (790 nucleotides) under Hevea brasiliensis (rubber tree). The record is from RNAcentral. Lineage: Eukaryota; Viridiplantae; Streptophyta; Magnoliopsida; Malpighiales; Euphorbiaceae.
GCUCUCUCUCUCUAUAAUCUUUACAUGCUUAUGUGACGCUUCUUUAAACCAUUUUCAACAUUUGACUACUUAUACAGCUGCAAAAUUCUUGUUUUUUUACAGUUUAUUUCAAUAUAUAUUGCUUAAUCUUUACAAUUCUGAAGUGGGUUUUUGAGCUUUUCUUGUUUUUCUUCUGUUUUCUCAUAUGGGUUUCUCUGGUUUUUGAGUUUUCUUGCUUUUUUACUGAUACCCACUUGAAAUUUUGUCCCCUUUUUGGUGUAAAAGCUACCAGUUCCCACUUUUUGAUUGACUUUUCUCUGUUCCUUCCACACAUAUUUUCAUUUUUCUUUGCUUUGUUCUAGUUUUGUUCCUUUUUCAGCUGCAGAAAGUUGGUAUCUUUUCACUAUUUAUCAUCAAUUUUUGUCUUUCCCGAGUUAUUGACUUGAUAAGAGUAGCAGAAGCUUAAAGAAAAACAAAACUUUUUUUUUUUAAAACCCUAUUGGGGUGUUGAAAUUUUCAAGCUUUAAGCAAAAUGCUGAAGUGUUUUUAUAUAUUCAAAGAUAAAUCGAGGUCUCGUAGGAGAGGGGAAUCAGCACCAGAAUUGAGUAAUGAAAGUAGGAGAAAUGGUAAUUCAGAAGGAAAUAGGGUAACUAGGUCUACAGGUUCAGUUUCAUCUCCUCGAAGUAUACCGGAAAUGUAUAGAGAAAGAGAGCAAAAUUUGAGGGUUUUUACUCUCUCUGAGCUUAAGGAGGCUACAAGGAAUUUCAAUAGAUUGCUAAAGAUUGGGGAAGGUGGUUUUGGGAGUGUGUAU